AUUGAACGCUGGCGGCAGGCCUAACACAUGCAAGUCGAGCGGAUGAAGGGAGCUUGCUCCUGGAUUCAGCGGCGGACGGGUGAGUAAUGCCUAGGAAUCUGCCUGGUAGUGGGGGAUAACGUCCGGAAACGGGCGCUAAUACCGCAUACGCCCUGAGGGAGAAAGUGGGGGAUCUUCGGACCUUACGCUAUCAGAUGAGCCUAGGUCGGAUUAGCUAGUUGGUGGGGUAAAGGCCUACCAAGGCGACGAUCCGUAACUGGUCUGAGAGGAUGAUCAGUCACACUGGAACUGAGACACGGUCCAGACUCCUACGGGAGGCAGCAGUGGGGAAUAUUGGACAAUGGGCGAAAGCCUGAUCCAGCCAUGCCGCGUGUGUGAAGAAGGUCUUCGGAUUGUAAAGCACUUUAAGUUGGGAAGAAGGGCAGUAAGUUAAUACCUUGCUGUUUUGACGUUACCAACAGAAUAAGCACCGGCUAACUUCGUG
This 484-nucleotide ribosomal RNA is filed under the name uncultured bacterium. RNAcentral's name for it is "partial 16S ribosomal RNA". It matches the Rfam family "Bacterial small subunit ribosomal RNA", at positions 30 to 507 of the family's 1533-position model. The record is from RNAcentral.